ACUUUGCCUAAUAUACACAUUGUGAGAUAUAUAUAUGUAUAUCUCACAAUGUGUAUAUUAGGCAAAGUUG
Molecule: non-coding RNA, 70 nt
Organism: Podarcis lilfordi (Lilford's wall lizard)
Lineage: Eukaryota; Metazoa; Chordata; Lepidosauria; Squamata; Lacertidae
Source: the annotation of a GenBank genome assembly